RNAcentral lists this long non-coding RNA (328 nucleotides) under Brassica napus (rape). RNAcentral's name for it is "long non-coding RNA (BNAP_LNC008316)". The record is from RNAcentral. Lineage: Eukaryota; Viridiplantae; Streptophyta; Magnoliopsida; Brassicales; Brassicaceae.
GUUGAUCCAUGUUCCAGACGAAACCAGGCAUGUCAAACCGAGGACCAGCCACUGUUCGGUAUAUGAACACUCUAUCAACAGGGCAGCUCUCGGGUCUAGAGUCAGGCGGACCCCUUUCAUCGAUCACUUCCACAUUGAGCUUUGAACUCUUUCAACAGGGCAGCUCUCGGGUCUAGAGUCAGGCGGACCCCUUUCAUCGAUCACUUCCACAUUGAGCUUUGGCAUCUUCUGUCCUAACAACUUGCAGGCUCCAAAACUCACGGAACACGAAGACAUCCAAAGAGAUCGCAUUGUCUCCAGCUUCGAAGCAUUUGCCAAAAGCGCCUUG